GGGGGGGGGGGGCAAGCGUUGUUCGGAAUUACUGGGCGUAAAGGGCGCGUAGGCGGGGGUCCAGAAAAGUCUUUCGUGAAAUCCCACAGCUCAACUGUGGAACUGCGAAGGAAACUGCUGGACUUGAGUCCGGGAGAGGAGAGCGGAAUUCCCAGUGUAGCGGUGAAAUGCGUAGAUAUUGGGAGGAACACCGGUGGCGAAGGCGGCUCUCUGGACCGGUACUGACGCUGAGGCGCGAAAGCUAGGGGAGCAAACGGGAUUAGAUACCCCGGUAGUCCUAGCCUUAAACGAUGAGCACUUGGUGUGGCGGGUAUCGACCCCUGCCGUGCCGAAGCUAACGCAUUAAGUGCUCCGCCUGGGGAGUACGGUCGCAAAGGCUG
Molecule: ribosomal RNA, 380 nt
Filed under: uncultured organism
Description: partial 16S ribosomal RNA
Rfam family: Bacterial small subunit ribosomal RNA
Source: RNAcentral